RNAcentral lists this ribosomal RNA (459 nucleotides) under uncultured bacterium. RNAcentral's name for it is "partial 16S ribosomal RNA". It matches the Rfam family "Bacterial small subunit ribosomal RNA", at positions 339 to 795 of the family's 1533-position model. The record is from RNAcentral.
CUACGGGUGGCUCCAGUGAGGAAUAUUGGUCAAUGGACGCAAGUCUGAACCAGCCAUGUCGCGUGAAGGAUGACUGCCCUAUGGGUUGUAAACUUCUUUUAUAUGGGAAGAAUAUGAUUACGAGUAAUCAAAUGCCGGUACCAUAUGAAUAAGCAUCGGCUAACUCGGUGCCAGCAGCCGCGGUAAUACGGAGUGAUGCAAGCGUUAUCCGGAUUUAUUGGGUUUAAAGGGUGUGUAGGUGGGCCUUUAAGUCAGUGGUGAAAUCCUGCAGCUCAACUGUAGAACUGCCAUUGAAACUGAAGGUCUUGAGUAUAGACGAGGUAGGCGGAAUGAGUUAUGUAGCGGUGAAAUGCAUAGAUAUAACUCAGAACACCGAUUGCGAAGGCAGCUUACUAGACUAUUACUGACACUGAUGCACGAAAGCGUGGGUAGCGAACAGGAUUAGAUACCCGGGUAGUC